RNAcentral lists this ribosomal RNA (1049 nucleotides) under Lysurus periphragmoides. Its description in RNAcentral is "partial large subunit ribosomal RNA". Lineage: Eukaryota; Fungi; Basidiomycota; Agaricomycetes; Phallales; Phallaceae. The record is from RNAcentral.
GUAACGGCGAGUGAAGCGGGAAAAGCUCAAAUUUGUAAUCUGGCGGUCUACGGCCGUCCGAGUUGUAAUCUGGAGAAGCGUUUUCGGUGCCGGCCCGCGUACAAGUCCCCUGGAACGGGGCGUCGCAGAGGGUGAGAAUCCCGUCUUUGAUGCGGUCUCGCCGGUGCCAUGCGAAGCGCUCUCGAAGAGUCGAGUUGUUUGGGAAUGCAGCUCAAAACGGGUGGUAAAUUCCAUCUAAAGCUAAAUACGGGCGAAAGACCGAUAGCGAACAAGUACCGUGAGGGAAAGAUGAAAAGCACUUUGGAAAGAGAGUCAAACAGUACGUGAAAUUGUUGAAAGGGAAACGCUUGAAGUCAGUCGCGUCUCCCGGGACUCAGCGGGGUCACUCCCGCGCACUUCCCGGGUUUAUGACGGGCCAGCGUCGAUUUCGACCGUCGUAGAAAGGCGAGAGGAAAGUGGCGGUCCUUCGGGGCCGUGUUAUAGCCUCGCGUCGUAUGCGAACGGUCCGGGAUCGAGGGAUGCAGCGCGCCUUCCUUUUCGGAGGAGGGCCGGGGUUCGCCCACGUAACGCGCUUGGGACGCUGGCGUAAUGGCUUUAAGCGACCCGUCUUGAAACACGGACCAAGGAGUCUAACAUGCUCGCGAGUGUUCGGGUGGAAAACCCGCGCGCGUAAUGAAAGUGAAAGGUUGGGACCCCUUCGCGAGAGGGGGGCACCGACGCCCGGACUCGAGCCACCGGUGACGGUUCCGAGGCGGAGCGCGUAUGUUGGGACCCGAAAGAUGGUGAACUAUGCCUGAGUAGGGCGAAGCCAGAGGAAACUCUGGUGGAGGCUCGUAGCGAUUCUGACGUGCAAAUCGAUCGUCGAACUUGGGUAUAGGGGCGAAAGACUAAUCGAACCRUCUAGUAGCUGGUUCCCGCCGAAGUUUCCCUCAGGAUAGCAGAGACUCGCCUUUUGCAGUUUUAUGUGGUAAAGCGAAUGAUUAGGGGCCUUGGGGUCGAAACGACCUUAACCCAUUCUCAAACUUUAAAUAUGUAAGAACGGGCCGUCG